GACGAACGCUGGCGGCGUGCUUAACACAUGCAAGUCGAACGGAAAGGCCCUGCUUUUGUGGGGUUCUCGAGUGGCGAACGGGUGAGUAACACGUGAGUAACCUGCCCUUGACUUUGGGAUAACUUCAGGAAACUGGGGCUAAUACCGGAUAGGAGCUCCUGCUGCAUGGUGGGGGUUGGAAAGUUUCGGCGGGUGGGGAUGGACUCGCGGCUUAUCAGCUUGUUGGUGGGGUAGUGGCUUACCAAGGCUUUGACGGGUAGCCGGCCUGAGAGGGUGACCGGCCACAUUGGGACUGAGAUACGGCCCAGACUCCUACGGGAGGCAGCAGUGGGGAAUAUUGCACAAUGGGCGGAAGCCUGAUGCAGCAACGCCGCGUGCGGGAUGACGGCCUUCGGGUUGUAAACCGCUUUCGCCUGUGACGAAGCGUGAGUGACGGUAAUGGGUAAAGAAGCACCGGCUAACUACGUG
RNAcentral lists this ribosomal RNA (468 nucleotides) under uncultured bacterium. RNAcentral describes it as "partial 16S ribosomal RNA". It matches the Rfam family "Bacterial small subunit ribosomal RNA", at positions 28 to 507 of the family's 1533-position model. The record is from RNAcentral.